Molecule: ribosomal RNA, 115 nt
Organism: Danio rerio (zebrafish)
Lineage: Eukaryota; Metazoa; Chordata; Actinopteri; Cypriniformes; Danionidae
Source: Ensembl
UGACACAGACAAAUCACCCUGAGCCCAAGACCGGUACUCACUGAAGCUAAGCAGGUCAGAGCCUGGUCAGUACCUGGAUGAAAGACCACAUGGGAAAACUAGGUUGCUGUUAAAA